This 492-nucleotide ribosomal RNA is filed under the name uncultured bacterium. Its description in RNAcentral is "partial 16S ribosomal RNA". It matches the Rfam family "Bacterial small subunit ribosomal RNA", at positions 29 to 507 of the family's 1533-position model. The record is from RNAcentral.
AGUGAACGCUGGCGGUAGGCCUAACACAUGCAAGUCGAACGGCAGCACAGUAAGAGCUUGCUCUUACGGGUGGCGAGUGGCGGACGGGUGAGGAAUACAUCGGAAUCUACUUUUUCGUGGGGGAUAACGUAGGGAAACUUACGCUAAUACCGCAUACGACCUACGGGUGAAAGCAGGGGAUCUUCGGACCUUGCGCGAUUGAAUGAGCCGAUGUCGGAUUAGCUAGUUGGCGGGGUUAAGGCCCACCAAGGCGCCGAUCCGUAGCUGGUCUGAGAGGAUGAUCCACCAAAACGGGACCUAGACACAGUCCCAACUCCUACGGGAGGGCACAGUUGGGGAAAUUUGAACAAUGGGGCAAAGCCGAUCCAGGCCAACCGGGGGGGUGAAGAAGGCCUUCGGGUUGUAAAGCCCUUUUGUUGGGAAAGAAAAGCAGCAGGUUAAUACCCCGCUGUUUUGACGGUACCCAAAGAAUAAGCACCGGCUAACUUCGUG